RNAcentral lists this ribosomal RNA (254 nucleotides) under uncultured bacterium. Its description in RNAcentral is "partial 16S ribosomal RNA". It matches the Rfam family "Bacterial small subunit ribosomal RNA", at positions 524 to 776 of the family's 1533-position model. The record is from RNAcentral.
UACGUAGGGGGCAAGCGUUGUCCGGAAUCAUUUGGGCGUAAAGCGCGUGUAGGCGGCUCGAUAAGUCCGCUCUGAAAGUCCAGGGCUCAACCCUGGGAUGCGGGUGGAUACUGUCGGGCUCGAGUCCGGAAGAGGCGAGUGGAAUUCCCGGUGUAGCGGUGAAAUGCGUAGAGAUCGGGAGGAACACCAGAGGCGAAGGCGGCGACCUGGACAGGUACUGACACUCAACUACGAAAGCGUGGGGAGCAAACAGG